Pteropus vampyrus (large flying fox) is the source of this 123-nucleotide ribosomal RNA. Lineage: Eukaryota; Metazoa; Chordata; Mammalia; Chiroptera; Pteropodidae. The record is from Ensembl.
AGUUAUGGCCAUACCACCCUGAAUGUGCCUGAUCUCAUCUGAUCUCAGAAGCUAAGCAGGGUCGGGACUGGUUAGUUAGUACUUGGAUGGGAGACCACCUAGGAAUACCAAAUGCUGUAGGCA